CAAUAGCGUAUAUUAAAGUUGUUGCGGUUAAAAAGUUCGUAGUUGGAUUUCUGCCGAGGACAACCGGUCCGCCCUCUGGGUGAGCAUCUGGCUUGGCCUGGGCUUCUUCUUGGAUUGCGUUGCUGCUCUUCACUGAGCGGCUGCGAGGUCCAGGACUUUUACUUUGAGGAAAUUAGAGUGUUUCAAGCAGGCUUCCGCCUUGAAUACAUUAGCAUGGAAUAAUAACAUAGGACCUUGGUUCUAUUUUGUUGGUUUCUAGAGCUGGGGUAAUGAUAAAUAGGGAUAGUUGGGGGCAUUCGUAUUUAACUGUCAGAGGUGAAAUUCCUGGAUUUGUUAAAGACGGACUACUGCGAAAGCAUUUGCCAAGGAUGUUUNCAUUGA
Molecule: ribosomal RNA, 381 nt
Filed under: uncultured eukaryote
Lineage: Eukaryota
Description: partial 18S ribosomal RNA
Rfam family: Eukaryotic small subunit ribosomal RNA
Source: RNAcentral